RNAcentral lists this long non-coding RNA (1380 nucleotides) under Hordeum vulgare. RNAcentral's name for it is "long non-coding RNA (HVUL_LNC013415)". The record is from RNAcentral. Lineage: Eukaryota; Viridiplantae; Streptophyta; Magnoliopsida; Poales; Poaceae.
ACUCCACACGAAUAAUGCAGCGCAUCUGUGUUUCACGCCGAACAAGGACCUACGGGCGCCGGCGAUCGCCGGAUCUUUAUGAAAUUAUCUCAACAUCACCCAGAGACAUAGUAUAAUCAAAGCAGGAAGCGAGGCAGGGAUAAACACGAACCGGAUAGGAUACCGAUCAUAGGUGGAACUGACACUGCGACACACACACACCACAACAACAAGCUCCAGCUGAGCAGACGCAGGCACGGUGGCCGGCGAGAGUGGCACCGCGUCGCUCGCUGGCUGCUGACUGGGCACUGGGCCUCGACACGACAACACUUUUAUUUAGCCCACGUCACCGCGCGACCCCGCGCAAAGCACCCCACACCUAGUACGUACUCGUAGUAAAAAGGUAGCACCCCACUCCACUCCACUGGCUGACUGAGCAUCGCGCCGUGCCACGUAGGAGCACACGGCCGCCGCCGCCGUGGACGCGCGCCUCACACGCUCACGGUGGCCUCCUCUGCCGCGGCCGCGGGCGCCUCCUCCGCUGCAGCCGGCGCUUCCUCGGCGACGGCCGCCACCUCCGGCUCGGCGGCAGCGGGUGCCGCCUCCUCCUCCUUCACCUCCUCGGCCGCCGCCGCCGGCUCGGCCUCUGCCACGGCCUCCUUGGUCUCCGUCUCGACCACGGCUGGCGCCUCGGCCACCGGCUCGGCCGCAGCUGCCGGCUCGGGCUCCUUGGCCUCCUCCGUCACGGCGGCGGCCGGCGCCUCCUCCUUGGCCGCCUCGACCUCGACGGGGGCAGGCGCCUCGACCUCGGCCUCCGCCGGCGCGGGGACCUCCUCCGUCUUCGCGGCCUCCUCGGCGGCCACGGGCGUCUCCACCGCCGGCGCCUCCUCCGUCAGCGCGGCCGUCGGGUUCUGGACCUGCACGUUUGCACACUCAAUGCCAUCAGCCCCACGCACAUGCCAGCACGUACACAAACCGAUCAAGCUCGAGCUCGACCACGAUCAUGGGCGUUCGUCAGAUCGCGUAGAUCCAUCGGAACGACCAUCGAUCCGAGAACAUGAAAGAGAACAGACGAUCGAUCGAUCCGAUCGAGGCAAGCUAGCUAUACGUACAUCAGCGGUGGCCAUUGCCGUGGUGGAAGCAAGAAAAUGCCCGGAGCUAGCUGAAGCUAGUGCUACUGUGACCCUGUUGUGUGCCUGUGGCUGAUCCGAUGAGAGAGUGUGAGGCGUGUGUGUCUGUGUGGAGCAAUGGAGGCUAUAUAUAGCGGCCUCCGGAGGCCAAAACGGGGAGAACACAAACGCAAAUCGAAGGCCAAAAAAAUUUAAAAACGAAGCCGAUCGACGGGUCGAGGAAAUAAACAAGCCGAGUCCGUCUCAUGAUGAUCGGGAAUCUGGGGAGCUG